CAGCAGCCGCGGUAAUACGUAGGUGGCAAGCGUUGUCCGGAAUUAUUGGGCGUAAAGGGCUCGCAGGCGGUUUCUUAAGUCUGAUGUGAAAGCCCCCGGCUCAACCGGGGAGGGUCAUUGGAAACUGGGAAACUUGAGUGCAGAAGAGGAGAGUGGAACUCCACGUGUAGCGGUGAAAUGCGUAGAGAUGUGGAGGAACACCAGUGGCGAAGGCGACUCUCUGGUCUGUAACUGACGCUGAGGAGCGAAAGCGUGGGGAGCGAACAGGAUUAGAUACCCCAGUAGUCCCUGUCUCUUAUAC
This 301-nucleotide ribosomal RNA is filed under the name uncultured bacterium. RNAcentral's name for it is "partial 16S ribosomal RNA". It matches the Rfam family "Bacterial small subunit ribosomal RNA", at positions 509 to 807 of the family's 1533-position model. The record is from RNAcentral.